UACGGAGGGGGCUAGCGUUGUUCGGAAUUACUGGGCGUAAAGCGCACGUAGGCGGAUCAGAAAGUCAGAGGUGAAAUCCCAGGGCUCAACCUUGGAACUGCCUUUGAAACUCCUGAUCUUGAGGUCGAGAGAGGUGAGUGGAAUUCCGAGUGUAGAGGUGAAAUUCGUAGAUAUUCGGAGGAACACCAGUGGCGAAGGCGGCUCACUGGCGCAUUUCUGACGCUGAGGUGCGAAAGCGUGGGGAGCAAACAGG
Molecule: ribosomal RNA, 253 nt
Filed under: uncultured bacterium
Lineage: Bacteria
Description: partial 16S ribosomal RNA
Rfam family: Bacterial small subunit ribosomal RNA
Source: RNAcentral